CUUUUUUUUUUUUUUUUUUUUUUUUGUAUUUUUAGAAGAGGUGGGGUUUCACUGUGUUAGCCAGGAUGGUCUCGAUCUCUUGACCUCGUGAUCCGCCCACCUUGGCCUCCCAAAGUGCUGGGAUUACAGGUGUGAGCCACCGUGCCUGGCCAAUUUUAACUUCUUUAUAUUAAAUGGUUAAACUAACUAAUGCCUGGCCUCUGGGAGGGCAGUCCCGUUUGUUUUGUUGACUGCAAUACUCAUCGCCUUACAAAUGCAUGUACUAUCAGCCAUUGCCUGCCCCUCCCCCAUUUCUAUGACUUCUCCAGUAGACUUAGUCAUCCUUUCUAUACUUUUAAACUAGUUAGAUGACUGUACUCAAUUCCCUAGCGAGGCCUUCCUGCUGCCAACCUGACGGUGAUGCCCGUGCUGCCAGCUCUCUGUCCUACCUUGGUCCACUGUGGAGGCGUUAACAGUCACCUGUGGUCUUGUUCUGUUUUCUCAAUUGCUUAGUCUUUUGUAACAUUUGCUGUCCUCUCUCAGUUCCCAUCACCUUUUUUUGGCUCCUCUGUGCCAGGCACAUUAUGCUAUCUGUGGGAGGUAGACAGGUUCCCACCCUUGCUUAUUCGGAGCAGGGAAAGUUCUACUGAUUUCAUUUCAUAAAAGAAUACCAGUGAUAAAAGUACUUGAAAACCACUGCUUUGUGGAAUGGGUAAUGCAGCAGACUUUCAAAAGCAAUUUAGAAAACAAAUUGUCGUCCAGGCUGGAGUGCAAUGGCACAAUCAUGGUUCACUGGAGCCUUGACCUCCCAGGUUCAAGCGAUCCUCCAGCCUCAGUCUCCUUAGUAGUAGGCUCAUGACACCACGCCUGGCUAAUUUUUAAUUUUUUUGCAGAGCUGGCGGGGUGGGGGUCCCAUAUGUUGCCCAGGCUGGUCUCGACCACCUGGGUUCAAGCAACCCACCUGCCUCAGCCUCCCAAAGUUCUGCAAUUACAGGUGUGAACCACUGCACCCAGCCACAAAGCAAUUCUUGAAAAGCAACCAGGGUUGGCUUCCAAAUGCUCAGCCCUAUCAUGGGUCUCAUCCUAUGGCCUUAGUGCCUUCCUCCUCCUUGUGUAGUUGGUUCCAUCUCAGAAAACCUACAUUUCCUAGCCUGUAAAGCUUAGCCCACUCCCCAUGGAAUGGGAACAAUUUAGUAGUUUAAAGGAAGUAUUAAGAAAGAGCACUCUCUGGGAUUAAAGAGGGGGCAGGCUGAAGGAAUGAUGGCACGGCCACUGGGUCACUGCCUGACUCUCCAAACUGGUCUCAGAACUGGCCCCUCUGCACAUGGACUGCUAGCUCGAGGGCCCGCACUGCUGAAUGGCAGCACAUCUUCCUACAGUGCCCUGUUUCAGGCUUGAAAACUUUGCCCUCGUG
Macaca fascicularis (crab-eating macaque) is the source of this 1393-nucleotide long non-coding RNA. The record is from Ensembl. Lineage: Eukaryota; Metazoa; Chordata; Mammalia; Primates; Cercopithecidae.